UGUAGAAAACAAUGUUAAAAGCAUGAAGGGCUGAACACAGCCAAGAAAGCUCUGCUCGCCUCUAGGAAAUAUGCAACAGAAACAGCUACUAUUCUAGGCACAGCCAACUUUUAUGGGACUGUGACUUGUGACUUCAUUUUUUUGACUUGUUUUUGUGACUGUGUGGAACCCUGUUCAGCUACAGAUUGAUUGAUUGAUUGAUUGAUUGAUUGUGUGACUGCAGAAAUGGAUAAAAGUCCCCCAUCCAAAUAAUGACUAUCAUCAGUGCAGGUAAGAAAAAAUAUUAAUUUUAAUUUUUAUCAUCUACAAUACUGUCUUAUUUAUUUUAUAGUACAGUACAUAGAUUAUUGCUUUCAUUUUAUGGAUCAAUAGUCUUCUUAGAUAGGAAAAUUCAUGUUAAAUUGCUGUGUUAGGGGUUGUUUUUAAAAGUCUGGAACUGAUUAAUACAUUUUGCAUUACUUUCUAUGGGAAAGCAUGCCUUGGUUUUAGAAUGCUUUGGUUUUGGAACAGAUUUGCGGAACAGAUUAAGUUUGGGAAAGAAGGUACCACCGUAUUUUAGCUGAAUCUUCCACCAUUCCGUUUAUUGCAUGUCCUCAAAUUCAAGUUAUAUUCAAAUUACAAGAGAGGGAGAAAGUAAGUAAGUAAGUAAGUAAGUAACCAACCAACCAACCAACCAGAAGGCCCUCAGAGCUGGACCUCAGUGUCCGGGGUGAAUGAUGGGGGUGGAGACGUUCCUUCAGGUAUACUGGGCCAAGGCCAUUUAGGGCUUUAAAGGUCAGCACCAACACUUUGAAUUGUACUUGGAAACGAACUGGGAGCCAAUGUAGGUCUUUCAGGACUGGUGUUAUAUGGUCUCGGUGGCCACUCCCAGUCACCAGUCUAGCUGCUGCAUUCUGGAUUAGUUGCAGUUUCCAGGCCAGCUUCAAAGGUAGCCCCACAUAGAGUGCAUUGCAGUAGUCCAAGUGGGAGAGAACUAGAGCAUGCACCACUCUGGUGAGACAAUGCAUGAGCAGGUAGGGUCUCAGCCUGUGUACCAGAUGGAGCUGGGAGACAGCUGCCCUGGACACAGAAUUCACCUGCACCUCCAUGGACAACUGUGAGUCCAAAAUGACUCCCUGGCUGCGCACCUGGUCCUUCAGGGGCACAGUUACCCCAUUCAGGACCAGGGAGUCCCCCUCACCUACCUACCUCCUGUCUCCCCAAAAUAGUACUUCUGUCUUGUCGGGAUUCCGCCUCCAUCUGUUAGCCACCAUCCAUCCCCCAACCACCUCCAGACACUCACACAGGACAUUCUCCGCUAUUCAUCACCCACUCUCUCCAUGCACUGGAUAAGAGAGGGAGAGGAAGGAGCAGGGUGGGGCACGAACUUAGUCUGCUUGAUGGGAGACAAGCUCAGCCGCAGUGCCUUGGGGGAACAAAGGGUGUGGUAACCUGGGGAGCAUAAAAAAGCUUGAGAUGGAGAACAUGAGGGAUGCGGCCUUGCAACACCUUUCAACAACAAAGAGAACCAGCACACCUUUCUCCCCCCUCCUCCAUGGAGAAACAGGGAACAUGUUGGAAUACCUAGGGCCCUAAAUAAGGAUCCUCCACCCAGUGUUGGGACGCAUGCCCUCAUUCCCUGCCAGACGGACCAUCUCCAGGCUCUCCCCUAAGCCCCAUUGGGGGGGGCAGACAGCAGUGGCAUAGCAUGGGUUGCCAGCAGCCAGGGCCACACAGAGAGGGAGUGGGAGGAAAGGAAAUGGACAGAGUACACAUGGACAUUCAUUUUUUUUUUUAAAAAAAGAUAUUUAUUAAAGUUUCAAAAAAGAAGAUACGCAUGGACAUUCAACUGCCUAAUGGUCUCUGCGUCACCCAGCAGCUGCAGAGAUGAGAGAAAAAGAGUUGUUCUGUUGUCUGAAGAGGUCAAUUCCUGGUUCACAUGGAGAAGUCAUUUUCAACAGAGCCCAGCAACGGAAGCACACACAUCUGUAUUGAGGCUGCAGUGUUUGGUGAAAUUUUGCACCCCUAACCAUUUUGCUCCUGGGGCAACCAUCCCUGUGCCCCUCCCAUAUGCUAUGCCACAGCCAGGGCCAGGAAAAAAAGGUUUAACAAAGGAAUGGUUCCAAGCAUUUCUCCGCAAAGUUAAGGCCAAACAAGUACAAGCCGAAUGCAAUCCUACUUGUCCUAUCUGGAGAUAUAACAUUGAUGCCUUACAGCAGGCUUCCUCAACCUCGGCCCUCCAGAUGUUUUGGCCUACAACUCCCAUGAUCCCUAGCUAGCAGGACCAGUGGUCAGGGAUGAUGGGAAUUGACUGUAGUCUCAAAACAUCUGGAGGGCUGAGGUUGAGGAAGCCUGCCUUACAGCAUGUCUGAUUUGCCUAAUCUUGGGGUAGUAGAACCAAACUCAUGAGACUAACAGAUUAUGUUUUAUACUUUGUGCAUACCAGUUAUCAAAGUCACCAGACUACCUCAGAGCUUCAUCUCUUCAAAUGACACAGAUCACCCAUGCAAAUGUUCUGCAGCCUCUUUAAUCCAGCCCUGGCAAUUGGGACUAAUUUGGAGAGGGAAACAUCUGUUGAAGUGGCUGGAAACCUGUACCUUCCUCAUUUUAGUAUGCUGUUACCCAAAAAUAUAGAAACUGUUAUAAGACAGAUCUGCUCCUUUUCCCUUAUGGGGCACCCAAGAGCCCGUAUAGAGUCCUUAUGUAGGUUCUCNNNNNNNNNNNNNNNNNNNNNNNNNNNNNNNNNNNNNNNNNNNNNNNNNNNNNNNNNNNNNNNNNNNNNNNNNNNNNNNNNNNNNNNNNNNNNNNNNNNNGUGUGAUAAGUCACAAAAAGCAUGCACGAGUUCACAAUCAUGUGCACAAGCAUAUAUACCCCUUUCCAGUUCCCUCCCCCUUUCUCCUCCCUCAAGAGUUCCUCUGAGCAUGAACAGAAAGCUGUCUUGGGACUAUUGUGGACUCUUGGCACCCUUCCCAGGAAAGGGGGGGGUGAGAAGCCAAGGGGUUUUCAGCAUGUUCAGAUAUGUUUCAAUCUCUUGUUCUGGCAUGGUUCCCGGACAGAAAGUAAGUUGCAAUGUGGUUCUUUAGCAAGGCCAGAAGACAUGAGAAAGGCCUGAGAAACAAUGGACUGUUCUCUACCUUUGUUACAGCAGAGCGGAAUGUUUCUGAUGCUUAGCUGCUGAGAAAAUGAUUUUGAAAAGUUUUGAGAAGCUUUGAGCCUGCUUUGGUGGGGGGGUGACUUCGGGCCUAGGUGAGGUCACCUGUCCUCACCUUCCUUCAAUCCCACUUUAUCACUACGCUAAGGAGUCUCAAAGCAGCCAACUAUCUCCGUUCCCUUCCUCCCCCACAACGAACACUCUGUGAGGUGAGUGAGGCUGAGAUACUUCAGAGAAAUGUGACUAGCCCAAGGUCACCCAGCAGCUGCAUGUGGAGGAGUGAGGAAGUGAACCCGGUUCACCAGAUUACGAGUCUACUGCUCUUAACCACUACACCACACUGCAGAGGAACAUCUGAGGUCACUGAAAGAGUCAAAAUGGCUUUAGGACUGUUUUCCUGUACUGUUUCAGACAUGUGGUUUAUAUAUUUGUGUAUGUGUUUGCCUGGUGCAUUUAUGAACAUUUGUUUUAUGUCUUAGAUCUUAUAAUCUCAUAACAGAAACUAACUGAAAGUGCAUCCAAGUCGCAAUGCAGACAGAAAAAUGCUGGUUGCCGAUAGAAGCUAAUCUUCUUGCCACACACAACUUUGGAUCCUUGGUCCAAUGUCAAGCUGCUGAUUCAUCCUGUUCCCCUGCUCCCAUUUUGCUCUGCAGUUUAAGAACGAAUUUGAAAGUCUCCCACUUUGCUGCUGGCUGGAGUUAACGGUGAGAAGUCAUGGAAGUAGAUGCUGCAACCAGUACUGAAAGAGUUUUGCUUGGGGAGGUCGCUGCACUACAUGCCAAUUUAUUUUGUUAUGAAAUCUUGUGUUUCUGGCCUAUGUUCCAGAAGACCCAUGGCACUAAGUGGGAAGGAAGCUAUGCAUUAUUUGCCCAAGCAACAACUGCCUCUACCCCUCCCUUUCUCAGAUAUCUUUAAAGGGAGAUGGAGUAUUAUUUUAUCCAGAGUUCUGGAGGGGAGAAGUUGCGUUUGGGUGGUAUCUGUGUGAGCCAGGAUGGAAUGCAGGGCCUCAGAUGGGGAAUCAAGGAGAGACGCCUUCUAAAUUUAAACAGCCUGUUCCCAAAAGUAAUUCUGGUUGUACAGUUACAUAAAGUCCAGUGGCUGACAGAUGAAAAACAGGCACGCUGCUGUAACACUCCCAUCUACGAAACAUGAGCCCCACAUUACUGGGGAUGAACUCCUCCAGUGUUUCAUCUUCAUUUACUGUAAUACAGCUGCUUUCUUCACUCUCAUCCAACCCACGCACCCUCCCAGCAAUGGGGCGGGGGGAGAAUGAGAUUAUGUAUGUUGUUUGUUAUCGUUAAAAAUCUAUUUGGCCCAGAGAAGGAGGAGUGGUGUGUGUGUGAGUGUGUGUGUGUGUGAAAUCAACGUCAGAUAAAAUGUUUCCACAAACCAAAGUAGACCUCAGAAACUGAGAAACUAGCAAGCUGUGUGCAUUCCAUGGCGCCUUAGGGUAGUGAUGUGUGAACAUGUCUUAAUCCUUCUGCUAUUCAUUUUCAUCCUGUGUUUUUUUCAUUCUGCAAUUGGUCUGUUUUGCACAAGAGUUUCUUCCAUUCACUGACACAGAAAUAUACCUUCUUCUCCACCUUUUUUUUUGUUUUGCAAAUAUUGCGGGUACAUGAUAGACCUUCAUAUCUCAGUCAUCAACAGGUACUGUUACAAAUCUAUUGCCUUCUUAGUAUGUUCCCUUUCAAACAUAAUUCAUUUCCAGAGUGGCAGCCCUGUUAAGUCUUUUGCAGGGAAAACAACACAGAUUCUUCUGGCACCUAAAAUACAAAGUGAAACGGCUAAUGGCCCAUCACAAAGCCAUUAGCAACUGCCAUCCUAAUCACAUCUACUCAGAAUUAAAUCCCAUGGAAUUGAAUUGAGCUGACCCCCAGGAAAGUGGGGCUAGGACUGCAGCCUUGCUUACUUGAUUUCAUUGUUCAAUCUAAACCAGGCAUGUCCAAAGUCCGUUUUGGGGGCCUAAUCCAGCCCGCUAUUCGGUUUAAUCUGGCCCCUGUGGCAGUUUUUUUCGUAGGUAAAAUCCUAAAAAAACCUCAACAACUUCAACCCUUAAAAAAGCUCAAGAACCUCAAUCCUAAAAAAAGUAAAAAAAGGUUAACAACUUUGGUUGGCCCAUUGGUCGGCCCUCAUGGCCCUUCACUUCAUCAAAUCUGGCCCUCUUUGAAAAAGUUUGGACACCACUGGCUAAAGUCUGUGCUAUUUUUCUAGAAAAAGAGGUGCCGGAGCUCACAAUGAACUUCUCCCUUGUUCUCUAAGAAUGGCAAUGGACUCCGAGAGGUGGGCUGUGGCUGAAAAAAAGCAUUCAUAAAGAAUAGUUGACAUUUCGUUCAUGCCCUGGAUUGUAGGCAUAUUAAAUAUUUUACAAGCACUCUAAUGUGACUUAUUAAAGUCAUUUUUGUAAUACAGUGGUACCUCGGGUUACGAACUUAAUUCGUUCCGGAGGUCCGUUCUUAACCCGAAACCGUUCUUAACCUGAGGCGUGCUUUCACUAAUGUGGCCUCUUACUGCUGCCGCGCCACCGGCAUGCAAUUUCCAUUCUCAUCCUGGGGCAAAGUUCGCAACCCAGAGCAACUACUUCCGGGUUAGCGGCGUUUGUAACCCGAAGGGUUUGUCACCUGAGGUACUUCAUAAAUGUGUAUUUUAUGUAGGAAAUAGCCAUGUUUGCCUCUGCUGAAACAUAACGCUUGAAUGAACUUAUACUUUAAAUAUUUGUAGUAAAUAUGACUUUAUGUUUGACACCUUGAAACCCUCAGGUUUUAACUGAAGAGGAACAUAGGCAGAGUCAACAGGUUACUCCAUACUCUCCAACAUUUAUCCGAUGAAAACAGUCCUAAGGAAAAGCGGGAUAUUGAAAAACAGGAUAGCUUCUGUAAAUGCGGGACUGUCCCUGGAAAACAGGGACACUUGGAGGGUCUGCAUGUUUGUGUGCAUGUUGUGUACAGCCCUAUUAUGUUAUGUACGCUAUGGCAGACUUGUCAUUGCAGAGGAGAGAGAUCAAGUGAAGCACUUUAUCAGCCAGGAUGAGAGACUGGGCGGAACGCAGACAGAGGACACUGGAAGCAGCAGUGUGCAGAGGAAAAGGGUCCCCAGCCAGAGUGUUGCUGGUGUAGACAGGCAGCAUUUUUCGCAGAAGGGGCUUCGUAGCAUUCCCUGACUGUGGACAGUGUGUAAGUGUAAACACCAGCAAAAACAGCCAUCCCCUUGCUAUGCUCGCAGACGCUGGGCACAGCACAACCUCUGGCCGCAAACCUUUCAUUCGCAGCAACUGCAAAGCAAAAAAGAAGAGUCAGAGUCAUGUCUCAUGGAUCCUUCAUUUGCUUUUGUUUUUCUUUAAUCUCCACACACGGCGUUCUGUUCUGAGCUCUGUUAAGCUCCGGUCAGUGUCAUUGCCUUGGUGUAAGCCAAAACCUUCGGUACAAUUAAAUCUGAUCUACUUUGCUGUAAAGCCAAUGAAUUUUCUUUGGGGUCUUUCUAGUUCUCUUGAACUCCCUGGACUUCUAGGCCCCAUCUGGGCUAUCCAUUUUAAGCAGUAUCGAGUCGCUUUAAACAUCCACAGAUUCCUCCAAAGAAUCCUGGAAACUGUAGUUUGUUAAGGGUGCUGAAAGGAGACUCGUGUCCCCUCAAUUCCCAGAAUAGUUUAACAAUCCAUCCCUCUUUUCAGGAAACUCUGGGAACUGUAUCUGGGAAGUAGAGGGAAUAAGGAGUUUGCUAAGAACUCUCAGCACCCUUAACAAACUACAGUUUCCAGGAUUCUUUGGAAGAAGCCAGGAAUGUUUAUAGUGCCAAAAGAUAGACGUAAUAUAUUACAAGGACAGGAAGAAACAUUACGGACAGAAUAACUGCCACACACAGGAAGAACAAGGAGAGACUUUGAAUGCUUCACCUGUAGCUUUAUAAAUCAUUGAAUGUGUCAAUACGAAUGGAAGUCAUUAAAACUGCAGUUGCGGUAUAAGGGAUUGUUAUUUUGACUGGAGUGUAACUGAAAUUUAUAAGAUUUUGGAACGUGGAAAUAAAGUAAAUCAUCCACCCAUCAAUUCUAGCAUGUGGGGUAGGGUGGAGCACCCAAAUUGUACAAUUUGGCAUCUGAAUGAUUGGUAUUACUAAUUGUAUUAUAAUUUGGCAUUGUUAUAAUGAGGCUGUUAUUGUAAUUGAAAACUUAUAAAAAUUAUUAUCAAAAAAGAGUAC
Molecule: long non-coding RNA, 7319 nt
Filed under: Podarcis lilfordi (Lilford's wall lizard)
Lineage: Eukaryota; Metazoa; Chordata; Lepidosauria; Squamata; Lacertidae
Source: RNAcentral